AGGGUUGCUUUGCCUGUGCUGCCUCUGAGCCGAGCUCUUGUCUCAGAAGAAGCGUUUUCAGCUUUAAAAUCAGUCAGAACGUCUUUUUUCACUGGUAAAGAUUUUCUCCCGGUCAGGGAGAAACGUGAGAUUAACCACAAAGCCUGUUUUUGUGGGGAGGACUGGAUUUCAUUUAUUUAUGAGAAAAGGUUCAAACUGCAAUGUCGGACAGACUUUCAUCAAGCUCUAGCUAGGUGGAAGAAGGGGGGAGAGGCAAUUUUUGCCAAUUCCUCCAUCCCUUGAAAAUCUACCCUGGAGAGUUGGAAAACCCUACAGAACCACAUGGGAUGAGACACUGACAGCUGCAAGGAAGAGGGAGAAUCAGCAAAAAUCACCUCCACCCAUGGGAGAUUCAACCCACAGAACAGCAGUAUGGACCUGUCCAGUUACAGAUUUAUCCUCUCACCUGUGAAAACCAGGCUUUCAGCACAGCUACAGCACCAUUUACAUUCCCAUGUACAGAACAGGACAGCACAGCACAAGUCAACAGAGGGUAAGGUGUGAGACAAGAAGAAGGAAGAGGGAGGAACCUAAGCAUGGGAAGACAGGAGAAGCCCAUAGGAGGGAUGCUACGAUGAACUGGGCUCCUGAGUUCUGAGAACAGAAGGCCCAUCAAGCCUCCUCUGAAGCAAGAAUGGCCUGCAUUCUGAGGAACCUCAAGAGGGUGGGUUAGAGGGGAGACCAGCUCACUGUAAAGUGCAACGCUGAACCUCUAAAAUUGCCCAUGAUGCUAUUUAGACUUCCAAAUAUUUAAUACUUAUCAGAACACUUCUUAUUUCACUAUUUCAACAGAUGGCUUAAGAUAUCACUUAUAGAAGUGAGAUUUUGGGAGCCCCACAAUAUGGACUUUCUCUAUAUCAAUAGAAAUACUGCACAUGAGACUACAAAGUUUUAAUUUUGGGCUCCUGAGCUAGUUUGAAAAUGCCUAUUGAAGUACCACUUUUAACUGUUUGCAAAAGCUUUUAAAAACAAGUAUUUGUAAGAACUAAUUGCUGUUCUCCCACUCCCAAAGCCUGUUAUACUCUGAAAUGCAAAAUAGGUGAAGAGCAUUGAGAAUAGAUUCCCUCAAUGGGAGGAAAUUCUUGCAGAGAGAUUUUCACACCAAGUAGCUUACAAGGUUUCAUUUUAUUCACAACUGCUGUAUUUGGUCUUUAUUUUAAUGUGACAUUUGCUUAACUUCCCUAGAUUCAAUUGCCAAAGAUUUAUACCAGUGUUCUUUAAGCUAUGUUGUAUUGUUUGGUCAUCCUUUUUGGAUUCCACCACCUCAUGACCCCCAGGAGGGACUACUAAAAAAAAUCACAAAGUAAAACCCAAUUCCUUCUACACACUGAUGCAGCUUUAUUGCUUGAUUACAGGAGAAAUGCUGCUAGGGAGCACAUAGCUGAUGCUAGGCUUGUGCGUAUUUUCCAUCGUUUGUCAAUCAUUGCAAAGCAACCUAAUACCACCUACCUGUUGUGUGAUAACCCUUACCCUUCCCCCUAUGUAUUCCCUUCAACUGCCUCAAAAGGAGAGAAAGGACUAGAAUUUUAAUUUAAUGUCCAUCACAGUUUGCUCUGGAAAUGUACCCUCAGCAUUUUUCUUAUUUUCAUCAUUUUUAUCAAUAACUACUUGAAAACAUGCUGUGCCUCCCUCGUGGUCUGUGGACUGCAGUUUAAGAAUCACCAAUUUAUACCAUCAUGCUUGGAUGUAAAGCCACCGUUAACAUCAUGGACUUCUAAUGCUGGUCUUUCCAGUGAUGUUUACUGCUCCAGCCUUUGGAAUGGAAUGUUAAUGGCGUAGCCCAUUUAUAUACAUAUCUACAUGUCUGUCUGAAAGUAGUUAAAUACAGCUGAGGUAUACUGGCACUCCUCCUAAAGAAAAUAGUUUGGCCUAAGAAGAUAUUAUUUUUACAUAAUUCUUCUUUCCCACCACAAAAUUUUAACUUACUUUUUUUACUCUAGUGGUGAGGUCUUGAACAAAGAGUUUGCGUAAGUUAUGGAGGGUCUGAAGUUCUCUAGCCUGUAAAUAUGUUUAAGAAAACAUUACUUUAACACAAUCUAUUUCCACUAACUGGUAUUUCUCAAAACAUGGUAAAACAAAUCUCUUAGUUCUUUAUAUAUUAAUUGCACAUUCAUGCACACUGUAUAACACAAUAAAUUAGCACAAUAAACAUUGUCAACCAAUUAAAAAAAUCUUAGUCCAU
Rhineura floridana is the source of this 2221-nucleotide RNA transcript. RefSeq lists it as uncharacterized. The record is from RefSeq and is a predicted model, not a curated record. Lineage: Eukaryota; Metazoa; Chordata; Lepidosauria; Squamata; Rhineuridae. The transcript is spliced from 4 exons.